AUGAAGGAGAUCCAUGGCGAAGAAGCAGGGGUUCCUCCAAGCGACCUGCACCAGCAUCUUGGCGACCUACUCAAGAACCAGGACGCAGCAGACCUAACCUUUCAAGUCGGUGCACAGAGAUUCUCUGCUCACAGGUGUGUCCUUGCUGCUCGGUCGUCAGUCUUCAAGGCUGAGCUCCUCGGCGCCAUGGAGGAGAGUUCCUCUGGUCAUAUUGAAAUAUGUGACAUGGAAACUGAUGUUUUCAAGUCCUUGCUCCAUUUCAUUUACACCGACUCGGUUCCUCCAGUGCUUGAUGUGGUAAUGGCCAGCCAUCUUCUCGUGGCGGCUGACAGGUACAAUAUCGGCAGGCUGAAGCAGAUCUGUGAGGAAAAAUUGUGCAAUAACAUUGAUGCCAACAUGGUGGCUACCAGCUUGGCUUUAGCGGAGCAGCAUGGUUUCCAUGAUCUCAAAGAAGCUUGCUGGCAGUUCCUUGCUUCUCCCUCCAAUUUGGAGGCGAUGAUGGCAAGUGACAGUUAUGAGCAUCUCAAGUCCAGUUGUCCAUCUGUUUUCAAGGAGCUAAUAGCUAGAAUCCUCCCGGCUGAAUGGAACGCGGCUAAGGAUAUUGUCCUGACAAUGUGGAAGUAA
This 624-nucleotide ribosomal RNA is filed under the name Triticum aestivum (bread wheat). RNAcentral's name for it is "partial small subunit ribosomal RNA". Lineage: Eukaryota; Viridiplantae; Streptophyta; Magnoliopsida; Poales; Poaceae. The record is from RNAcentral.